Molecule: long non-coding RNA, 673 nt
Organism: Stegostoma tigrinum
Lineage: Eukaryota; Metazoa; Chordata; Chondrichthyes; Orectolobiformes; Stegostomatidae
Exons: 3
Source: RefSeq, a predicted model, not a curated record
CGGCCUACGAUGAAAUCUUGUUACGGCGUUUCCUUCCAGUCGUGAAAGAGGCGAUUCACGAAAACCUGGUUCGUUUGUCAAUCAAAUUGUUUAAACCCGGCUAUUUGGAAGUUAGGAGUGAUACGGUUCAAUCUUACUGAAAUGCUGACUGACUUGAUAAUUGGGGUUGCUGAAAAUGCUUGCAAUGUUUUCUUUGUUUUGACAAGUUCUAAAAUCACACGAUAAGGGGAAAUGGACGGAUAACAUGCAGGAGAGAUGACUGAAGUGUGAACAAGUCCUAUCACUGGCAAUCAUGAUGCCAAUUGCGGACAGUGCAUUUUGAAAUUGGCAGCCUGGUCUGAUGCCAUACCUCCAAUGAAAGGAGAGAUAAGCCAACAAAGAGUGGGUGAAAGCAUUAUAUGUAAUCACAGAAAUGAAUUUGAGCUGUUCAUUUGAAUCAUGAAAAUAAAUUUCACAAUCAGCAUGUGCAGGCCUGUAACUGCAGUUGCCUAUAUUUUUCACUGACUGAGUCCUUACCUCUAUUGUGUGGAAAAUAUUGGUGGUGCAGCAGGAGCUGUGAGAGAAGCCAACGCUUUUCUUUCUGAGAAGGAGCAGAACUGUGAGGAAUCACUGUUACAGGAAUCAUAGAAGCCCUUCACUAACACUAAAUCCUUCACUAUCAAUGUCUUUGAUU